This 23-nucleotide non-coding RNA is filed under the name Arabidopsis thaliana (thale cress). Lineage: Eukaryota; Viridiplantae; Streptophyta; Magnoliopsida; Brassicales; Brassicaceae. The record is from RNAcentral.
ACGAACCAUAUUCUCUAUUCUCA